UACGUAGGGUGCUAGCGUUGUCCGGAUUUAUUGGGCGUAAAGAGCUCGUAGGCGGUUUGUCGCGUCGACUGUGAAAACCUACAGCUUAACUGUGGGCUUGCAGUCGAUACGGGCAGACUUGAGUUCGGUAGGGGAGACUGGAAUUCCUGGUGUAGCGGUGAAAUGCGCAGAUAUCAGGAGGAACACCGGUGGCGAAGGCGGGUCUCUGGGCCGAUACUGACGCUGAGGAGCGAAAGCGUGGGGAGCGAACAGG
RNAcentral lists this ribosomal RNA (253 nucleotides) under uncultured bacterium. Its description in RNAcentral is "partial 16S ribosomal RNA". It matches the Rfam family "Bacterial small subunit ribosomal RNA", at positions 524 to 776 of the family's 1533-position model. The record is from RNAcentral.